RNAcentral lists this ribosomal RNA (468 nucleotides) under uncultured bacterium. RNAcentral's name for it is "partial 16S ribosomal RNA". It matches the Rfam family "Bacterial small subunit ribosomal RNA", at positions 28 to 507 of the family's 1533-position model. The record is from RNAcentral.
GACGAACGCUGGCGGCGUGCUUAACACAUGCAAGUCGAACGGAAAGGCCCUGCUUUUGUGGGGUGCUCGAGUGGCGAACGGGUGAGUAACACGUGAGUAACCUGCCCUUGACUUUGGGAUAACUUCAGGAAACUGGGGCUAAUACCGGAUAGGAGCUCCUGCUGCAUGGUGGGGGUUGGAAAGUUUCGGCGGUUGGGGAUGGACUCGCGGCUUAUCAGCUUGUUGGUGGGGUAGUGGCUUACCAAGGCUUUGACGGGUAGCCGCCCUGAGAGGGUGACCGGCCACAUUGGGACUGAGAUACGGCCCAGACUCCUACGGGAGGCAGCAGUGGGGAAUAGUGCACAAUGGGCGGAAGCCUGAUGCAGCAACGCCGCGUGCGGGAUGACGGCCUUCGGGUUGUAAACCGCUUUCGCCUGUGACGAAGCGUGAGUGACGGUAAUGGGUAAAGAAGCACCGGCUAACUACGUG